RNAcentral lists this ribosomal RNA (572 nucleotides) under uncultured bacterium. RNAcentral's name for it is "bacterial SSU rRNA". It matches the Rfam family "Bacterial small subunit ribosomal RNA", at positions 355 to 918 of the family's 1533-position model. The record is from RNAcentral.
UGGGGAAUAUUGGACAAUGGGCGCAAGCCUGAUCCAGCAAUGCCGCGUGUGUGAAGAAGGCCUGCGGGUUGUAAAGCACUUUCAGUGGGGAGGAGAAGCUCAAGAUUAACACUCUUGAGUCUUGACGUUAUCCACAGAAGAAGCACCGGCUAACUCUGUGCCAGCAGCCGCGGUAAUACAGAGGGUGCGAGCGUUAAUCGGAAUUACUGGGCGUAAAGGGCGCGUAGGCGGCUUGGCAAGUCAGAUGUGAAAGCCCACGGCUUAACCGUGGAAGUGCAUUUGAAACUGCUUGGCUUGAGUAUCAGAGGGGAAAGUGGAAUUCCCGGUGUAGAGGUGAAAUUCGUAGAUAUCGGGAGGAAUACCGGUGGCGAAGGCGACUUUCUGGCUGAAUACUGACGCUGAGGCGCGAAAGCGUGGGGAGCAAACAGGAUUAGAUACCCUGGUAGUCCACGCCGUAAACGAUGUCAACUAGGUGCAGGGGGUGUUGAUCCCCUCUGUGUCGCAGCUAACGCAUUAAGUUGACCGCCUGGGGAGUACGGUCGCAAGAUUAAAACUCAAAUGAAUUGACGGAA